AUUGAACGCUGGCGGCAGGCCUAACACAUGCAAGUCGAACGCGUGGCAGACGGGUGAGUAAUGUCUGGGAAACUGCCUGGUGGGGGGGGAUAACUAGUGGAAACGGUAGCUAAUACCGCAUACCCUCAGCUGUGCACAGAGGGGAUUGGCGAGUUGGUGGGGUAAUGGCUCACCAAGGCGACGAUCCCUAGCGGGUCUGAGAGGAUGACCAGCAACAGUGGAACUGAGACACGGUCCAGACUCCUACGUGAGGCAGCAGGGGGGAAGAUUGCACAAUGGGCGCAAGCCUGAUGCAGCCAUGCCGCGUGUAUGAAGAAGGCCUUCGGGUUGUAAAGUACUUUCAGCGGGGAGGCGUUACCCGCAGAAGAAGCACCGGCUAACUCCGUGCCAGCAGCCGCGGUAAUUC
This 406-nucleotide ribosomal RNA is filed under the name uncultured bacterium. RNAcentral's name for it is "partial 16S ribosomal RNA". It matches the Rfam family "Bacterial small subunit ribosomal RNA", at positions 29 to 526 of the family's 1533-position model. The record is from RNAcentral.